RNAcentral lists this ribosomal RNA (441 nucleotides) under uncultured bacterium. RNAcentral describes it as "partial 16S ribosomal RNA". It matches the Rfam family "Bacterial small subunit ribosomal RNA", at positions 338 to 795 of the family's 1533-position model. The record is from RNAcentral.
CCUACGGGUGGCAGCAGUGGGGGAUAUUGCACAAUGGGGGGAACCCUGAUGCAGCGACGCCGCGUGGGUGAAGGAGCUUUUCGGCGCGUAAAGCCCUAUCGGCAGGGAAGCAGAAGGACGGUACCUGACUCAGACGCCCCGGCCAACUACGUGCCAGCAGCCUCGGUACUACGUAGGGGGCAAGCGUUAUCCGGAUUUACGGGGUGUAAAGGGGGCGCAGGCGGGAGCGCAAGCCAGGAGGGAAAGCCCGGGGCCCAACCCCGGGACUGCUCUUGGAGCUGGGCGGCUGGAGUGGAGGAGGGGCAGGCGGAAUGCCUGGUGUAGCGGUGAAAUGCGUAGAUAUCAGGAGGAACACCGGUGGCGAAGGCGGCCUGCUGGACUGCGACUGACGUUGAGGCCCGAAAGCGUGGGGAGCAAACAGGAUUAGAUACCCGUGUAGUC